Arachis duranensis is the source of this 350-nucleotide long non-coding RNA. RefSeq lists it as uncharacterized. Lineage: Eukaryota; Viridiplantae; Streptophyta; Magnoliopsida; Fabales; Fabaceae. The transcript is spliced from 3 exons. The record is from RefSeq and is a predicted model, not a curated record.
AAACUGAUAUUGAGGUGAACAUUGUUGCAAAAAGUUAUUGGGGUGACGCAAGAGAGAAACUUCUAGACUAUUGAAGAUCUGAAAUUGGACUCAAUUGUACUGGGAAGCAGGGAACUUAGCACAAUCCAAAGAAAUGUAGAUGAAUUGCCAGGCAAACGCAAACGUCUGAGGCCGGGAAAUGUUUCUCCUUAUCGAGAAGUUCCGAAGGAUAUUCCUAGGCCUCCACAUGUAAAGUCUAAAACUCCAGCAGGACUUGUGACUGGCCCUGAAGUGCAUGAUGAGAAGGGGAUAUAAUGCAUGAGAGCUUCUGGAAGGCUUGCUGCACAGGUUCUUCAAUAUGCUGGCACCUU